This 466-nucleotide ribosomal RNA is filed under the name uncultured bacterium. RNAcentral's name for it is "bacterial SSU rRNA". It matches the Rfam family "Bacterial small subunit ribosomal RNA", at positions 329 to 793 of the family's 1533-position model. The record is from RNAcentral.
UGCCAGACUCCUACGGGAGGCAGCAGUGAGGAAUAUUGGUCAAUGGUCGGGAGACUGAACCAGCCAAGCCGCGUGAGGGAUGAAGGUACAGAGUAUCGUAAACCUCUUUUGUCAGGGAACAAAGGCGGGGACGUGUCCCCGGAUGAGUGUACCUGAAGAAAAAGCAUCGGCUAACUCCGUGCCAGCAGCCGCGGUAAUACGGAGGAUGCGAGCGUUAUCCGGAUUUAUUGGGUUUAAAGGGUGCGCAGGCGGUCUAGAAGGUCGGGGGUGAAACCCGGGGCCCCACCCCCGGCCCGCCGUUGAAACUGGCAGUCUCGAGUUGGAGAGAAGUAUGCGGAAUGCGCGGUGUAGCGGUGAAAUGCAUGGAUAUCGCGCAGAACUCCGAUUGCGAAGGCAGCAUGCCGGCUCCACACUGACGCUGAGGCACGAAAGCGUGGGUAUCGAACAGGAUUAGAUACCCUAGUAU